This 253-nucleotide ribosomal RNA is filed under the name uncultured bacterium. Its description in RNAcentral is "partial 16S ribosomal RNA". It matches the Rfam family "Bacterial small subunit ribosomal RNA", at positions 524 to 776 of the family's 1533-position model. The record is from RNAcentral.
UACGUAGGGACCAAGCGUUGUUCGGAUUUACUGGGCGUAAAGGGCGCGUAGGCGGCGUGGUAAGUCACUUGUGAAAUCUCUGAGCUUAACUCAGAACGGCCAAGUGAUACUGCUGUGCUAGAGUGCAGAAGGGGCAAUCGGAAUUCUUGGUGUAGCGGUGAAAUGCGUAGAUAUCGGGAGGAACACCAGUAGCGAAGGCGGCUCGCUGGGCCGUUCCUGACGCUGAGACGCGAAAGCUAGGGGAGCGAACAGG